Molecule: ribosomal RNA, 195 nt
Filed under: Cephalopholis fulva (coney)
Lineage: Eukaryota; Metazoa; Chordata; Actinopteri; Perciformes; Serranidae
Description: partial large subunit ribosomal RNA
Source: RNAcentral
AUGGAGACCUGUAUGAAUGGCAUAACGAGGGCUUGACUGUCUCCUCUUUCAAGUCAAUGAAAUUGAUUUCCCCGUGCAGAAGCGGGGAUGAAAUCAUAAGACGAGAAGACCCUAUGGAGCUUUAGACACCAAGGCAGAUUAUAAUCACCAGCCCUAACUAAAAGGACAUAAGUUAAUUAAACCCUGCCCCAUGUC